AAGCAAGCCAGGGAAUUAAUGCAAAAAGGCUCAAGCUUCUGUGCCCCUGGGAAAUGGCAGAGGAAGACAGCUUCAGCCUCAGAGCACACAGCACUGAGUUGUAAGAAACAGGUCUCAUCAUCCCCUUGGCCAGCAGAUUUUCACCCUGGGCCCACUAAGAAGCCUGCCAGGGGGUCCUCUGUUGUCUGGACCCUGAGGCUUCAUCCUCAAUGUGUUGGAGCCUAGGAGAGAGGAUUAGAGUUAUGCGAGUUUCCCAACGGUGCAGUCUCUACUCACCGCAACCUCUGCCUCCCGGGUUCAAGCAAUUCUCCUGCCUCAUUCUCUUGGGUAGCUGGGAUUACAAGCAUGCGCCACCACUCCCAGCUAAUUUUGUAUUUUUAGUAGAGAU
This 388-nucleotide long non-coding RNA is filed under the name Homo sapiens (human). Its description in RNAcentral is "non-protein coding lnc-BATF3-2:1". Lineage: Eukaryota; Metazoa; Chordata; Mammalia; Primates; Hominidae. The record is from RNAcentral.